UUCAGUCGGGUACAGUCAACUGGAUCUCCAUCUGUGGUUAUUCUGAGUGAAGGGAUGAAUCACUGAACGGCAGGUGUUUGAUCAGCAAACGGCAAAAGUGGUGUUUUACCUGCAGCACAGACCUGUCGUGGAUUAAGAUGACACAUGUGAAGCGGUUUCAAGGAAUCCCCAUGUCAAAGUCCAUGAGGGGUCUGUGCAAAGAGGAAGACUAUGCAUUUCUGGGAAUGUCAGGAAAGAGGUCAAAAGAAGCGGUAGAAGCAGCCGGGGCUUUUGAGGAUGACGGCAGUAUGAGAAAGGAGGAGCGG
Solea solea (common sole) is the source of this 305-nucleotide long non-coding RNA. RefSeq lists it as uncharacterized. NCBI's taxonomy places the organism in Eukaryota, Metazoa, Chordata, Actinopteri, Pleuronectiformes, Soleidae. The record is from RefSeq and is a predicted model, not a curated record. The transcript has 3 exons.